CACACUGCCCGUCAAGCCACGAAAGCGGGGAGUGCUCGAAGUUGUUUGCUCAACCGUAAGGAGAGCGGCACCUAAAGCAAGACUCGUGAUUGGGACU
This 97-nucleotide ribosomal RNA is filed under the name uncultured bacterium. RNAcentral describes it as "partial 16S ribosomal RNA". It matches the Rfam family "Bacterial small subunit ribosomal RNA", at positions 1386 to 1482 of the family's 1533-position model. The record is from RNAcentral.